RNAcentral lists this ribosomal RNA (884 nucleotides) under Mucoromycotina sp. MIB 8443. RNAcentral's name for it is "SSU rRNA". It matches the Rfam family "Eukaryotic small subunit ribosomal RNA", at positions 630 to 1541 of the family's 1831-position model. The record is from RNAcentral. Lineage: Eukaryota; Fungi; Mucoromycota; Endogonomycetes; Endogonales; Densosporaceae.
GUAGUUGAAUUUUAGCCCUGGCUGAGCGGUCCACCAAUUGGCUGGCACUGCUUCGGCUGGGGUUCACUUUCUGGUGAGCCAGUAUGCCCUUCAUUGGGUGUAUUGGGGAACCAGGACUUUUACCUUGAAAAAAUUAGAGUGUUCAAAGCAGGCCUAUGCUUGAAUACAUUAGCAUGGAAUAAUAGAAUAGGACUUCGGUUCUAUUUUGUUGGUUUCUAGGACCGAAGUAAUGAUUAAUAGGGAUAGUUGGGGGCAUUAGUAUUUAGUAGCUAGAGGUGAAAUUCUUGGAUUUACGAAAGACUAACUUCUGCGAAAGCAUUUGCCAAGGAUGUUUUCAUUAAUCAAGAACGAAAGUUAGGGGAUCGAAGACGAUCAGAUACCGUCGUAGUCUUAACCAUAAACUAUGCCGACUAGGGAUCAGACGAUGUUAAUUUACUGACUCGUUUGGCACCUUAUGAGAAAUCAAAGUUUUUGGGUUCCGGGGGGAGUAUGGUCGCAAGGCUGAAACUUAAAGGAAUUGACGGGAGGGCACCACCAGGAGUGGAGCCUGCGGCUUAAUUUGACUCAACACGGGGAAACCCACCAGGUCCAGACAUAGUAAGGAUUGACAGAUUGAGAGCUCUUUCUUGAUUCUAUGGGUGGUGGUGCAUGGCCGUUCUUAGUUGGUGGAGUGAUUUGUCUGCUUAAUUGCGUUAACGAACGAGACCUUAACCUGCUAAAUAGUUAUGCCAACUCUUGUUGGUAGUCAACUUCUUAGAGGGACUGUCGGCGAUUAGCCGACGGAAGUUUUAGGCAAUAACAGGUCUGUUAUGCCCUUAGAUGUCCUGGGCCGCACGCGCGCUACACUGAUGAAGUCAACGAGUUUAUAACCUUGGCCGGAAGGU